UAGCUACUACAACCGCACGUAUAAGGUAAACAAGUGAGAAAUCCACCUUAUAUGGCGAGUCUUAGUAAAAAA
Molecule: non-coding RNA, 72 nt
Organism: Gemella haemolysans ATCC 10379
Lineage: Bacteria; Bacillati; Bacillota; Bacilli; Caryophanales; Gemellaceae
Source: Rfam